UUAAAUUGAAGAGUUUGAUCAUGGCUCAGAUUGAACGCUGGCGGCAGGCCUAACACAUGCAAGUCGAACGGUAACAGGAAGCAGCUUGCUGCUUCGCUGACGAGUGGCGGACGGGUGAGUAAUGUCUGGGAAACUGCCUGAUGGAGGGGGAUAACUACUGGAAACGGUGGCUAAUACCGCAUAACGUCGCAAGACCAAAGAGGGGGACCUUCGGGCCUCUUGCCAUCAGAUGUGCCCAGAUGGGAUUAGCUAGUUGGUGAGGUAACGGCUCACCAAGGCGACGAUCCCUAGCUGGUCUGAGAGGAUGACCAGCCACACUGGAACUGAGACACGG
Molecule: ribosomal RNA, 334 nt
Filed under: Salmonella enterica subsp. enterica serovar Newport str. S09097
Lineage: Bacteria; Pseudomonadati; Pseudomonadota; Gammaproteobacteria; Enterobacterales; Enterobacteriaceae
Description: bacterial SSU rRNA
Rfam family: Bacterial small subunit ribosomal RNA
Source: RNAcentral